CCCUUAGAUGUUCUGGGCAGCACGCGCGCUACAAUGGUCUUCGCAAACGGAUGCAUUCUCGAAGGAGAAUGCCAAUCUUGGAAUCUAUGCCUUGGUCGGGACAGUUGCUUGCAAUUUUUCGACUCGAACCAGGAAUUCCUUGUAAUCGUGAUUCAUCACAUCACGAUGAAUACGUCCCUGUCCUUUGUACACACCGCCCGUCGCUCCUACCGAUCGAAGAGUUAGGUGAAUUGUUUUGAUCGAUAAGAUUUGACUAUGGUCAACUCUCGUUGGGAAAUUCUGUGAAUCUGACUGUUUAGAGGAAGGAAAAGUCGUAACA
This 319-nucleotide ribosomal RNA is filed under the name uncultured eukaryote. RNAcentral's name for it is "partial 18S ribosomal RNA". It matches the Rfam family "Eukaryotic small subunit ribosomal RNA", at positions 1470 to 1796 of the family's 1831-position model. The record is from RNAcentral.